GGCCGCGGGAAUUCGAUUCAGGCCUAACACAUGCAAGUCGAACGGGGUUAAGUGAAAUUUUCGGAUGGAACUUAACUUAGUGGCGGACGGGUGAGUAACGCGUGGAUAACCUGCCUCACACUGGGGGAUAGCAGCUGGAAACGGCUGGUAAUACCGCAUAAGACCACAGCACCGCAUGGUGCAGGGGUAAAAGAUUUAUCGGUGUGAGAUGGAUCCGCGUCUGAUUAGCCAGUUGGCGGGGUAACGGCCCACCAAAGCGACGAUCAGUAGCCGGCCUGAGAGGGUGAACGGCCACAUUGGGACUGAGACACGGCCCAAACUCCUACGGGAGGCAGCAGUGGGGAAUAUUGCACAAUGGGCGCAAGCCUGAUGCAGCAACGCCGCGUGAGUGAAGAAGUAUUUCGGUAUAAGAGCUCUAUCGGCAGGGAAGAAAGGCCCUUAACAGGGAG
RNAcentral lists this ribosomal RNA (449 nucleotides) under uncultured bacterium. RNAcentral's name for it is "bacterial SSU rRNA". It matches the Rfam family "Bacterial small subunit ribosomal RNA", at positions 39 to 469 of the family's 1533-position model. The record is from RNAcentral.